AGAAUGUCUAAUAUGAGGAGAAUGGGCACUCGCGGGUUAGUUCCAGUUUUCUGGACUGGUUGCAGUAAUAAUCUCUGACCACGCGGGGCGCUCGUAGGCGAGUCCAGAAUGAAUGGGAGCCAACGGGGUUUUAUCCUCAGAAUCCACUUUUCUCACAAUGUAAUUUUUUGUCAAGUAAUUUGAAAGUUGCUAUCAAAAGGUGGGGCUAAGAUAAUAAACUCAGCUGAAUAUUGCAUUUUUUAAGGUCACGUAUCUGUUCUAAAAAGGCGUUAAAAACAUGCGAUGACGUCACACAUUGUCAUACUGUCAGAGGUACUGCUUUACGGCAGUUUCUAAAGCACUUCCCUUUUCCCGCAACGAUAACACCAGCUGUUGGAGUUGGACCUUGAUGCUGUGACAACGGACAAGUCUUCUUCCUCUGUCCUUUUCCCCUGCCUCUGUUCAGGUGAUGUUCAGCACAUGAAGCCCUACAGAUGCCGCCGAUUCAACAAUGCUGAUUAUGAUGGGCGGUCAAUUUAACCUUUGCCUUAUUAGGUCCUCCACAGUCGCCCCAUCAGUCCCUGGCAGUCUGGUCCCUGGAGCAGCUGGCCCUGGCAAAAGUUAUUCCUUCACUGUUGACCCCUGACU
Molecule: long non-coding RNA, 627 nt
Organism: Gadus macrocephalus (Pacific cod)
Lineage: Eukaryota; Metazoa; Chordata; Actinopteri; Gadiformes; Gadidae
Exons: 4
Source: RefSeq, a predicted model, not a curated record